RNAcentral lists this ribosomal RNA (412 nucleotides) under Lacrimispora xylanolytica. RNAcentral describes it as "bacterial SSU rRNA". It matches the Rfam family "Bacterial small subunit ribosomal RNA", at positions 363 to 791 of the family's 1533-position model. The record is from RNAcentral. Lineage: Bacteria; Bacillati; Bacillota; Clostridia; Lachnospirales; Lachnospiraceae.
AUUGGACAAUGGGGGAAACCCUGAUCCAGCGACGCCGCGUGAGUGAAGAAGUGUUUCGGCAUGUAAAGCUCUAUCAGCAGGGAAGAAAAUGACGGUACCUGACUAAGAAGCCCCGGCUAACUACGUGCCAGCAGCCGCGGUAAUACGUAGGGGGCAAGCGUUAUCCGGAUUUACUGGGUGUAAAGGGAGCGUAGACGGUUCUGCAAGUCUGGAGUGAAAGCCCGGGGCUCAACCCCGGGACUGCUUUGGAAACUGUGGAACUAGAGUGCAGGAGAGGUAAGUGGAAUUCCUAGUGUAGCGGUGAAAUGCGUAGAUAUUAGGAGGAACACCAGUGGCGAAGGCGGCUUACUGGACUGUAACUGACGUUGAGGCUCGAAAGCUCUGGGGAGCAAACAGGAUUAGAUACCCUGGU